This is a long non-coding RNA of Pogonomyrmex barbatus (red harvester ant), 305 nucleotides long. RefSeq lists it as uncharacterized. Lineage: Eukaryota; Metazoa; Arthropoda; Insecta; Hymenoptera; Formicidae. The record is from RefSeq and is a predicted model, not a curated record.
GGGAGGAAUUGUCGGAGAUCAAGUCCUCAUUUAUCAACUUCCGGACAUUCUUGGGAUGAGCAGUACGCUAUUUUUUUCGAGGAGAUCUUUUCAGAUUUACUGGACGAUGUCCCCCUGGCAAAUCGACCUCGUUGGUUCCAACAAGAUGGUGCACCACCGCAUAAUACUCGGCGUGUGAGGGAAUAUCUCAACGCCUAGUUUCUUGGACGUUGGUUCGGUGUCGGCGCUGCGGUCCGCUGGCCACUACGGUCAGAUUCGUUUGACCUUAUGUAAUUAAAAAUCAUUAUAUAAAUAAAUUUUCAAGU